CCUACGGGUGGCAGCAGUGAGGAAUAUUGGUCAAUGGGCGCGAGCCUGAACCAGCCAAGUCGCGUGAGGGAUGACGGCCCUAUGGAUUGUAAACCUCUUUUGUCAGGGAGUAAAAGACGCCACGUGUGGCUUUUCGAGUGUACUUGAUGAAUAAGCAUCGGCUAACUCCGUGCCAGCAGCCGCGGUAAUACGGAGGAUCCGAGCGUUAUCCGGAUUUAUUGGGUUUAAAGGGUGCGAAGGGGGAAGAUUAAGUCAGCGGUAAAAUUUGGGGGCUAAACCUUUUCGUGCCAUUGAAACUGGUUGUCGUGAGUGAACGAGAGGUAUGCGGAAUGCGUGGUGUAGCGGUGAAAUGCAUAGAUAUCACGAAGAACUCCGAUUGCGAAGGCAGCAUACCAGCGCUCAACUGACACUCAUGCACGAAAGUGUGGGUAUCGAACAGGAUUAGAUACCCCAGUAGUC
Molecule: ribosomal RNA, 459 nt
Filed under: uncultured bacterium
Lineage: Bacteria
Description: partial 16S ribosomal RNA
Rfam family: Bacterial small subunit ribosomal RNA
Source: RNAcentral